RNAcentral lists this ribosomal RNA (1438 nucleotides) under uncultured organism. RNAcentral's name for it is "SSU rRNA". It matches the Rfam family "Bacterial small subunit ribosomal RNA". The record is from RNAcentral.
UCUACAGGCUUAACACAUGCAAGUCGAGGGGCAGCAUGAACUUAGCUUGCUAAGUUUGAUGGCGACCGGCGCACGGGUGAGUAACACGUAUCCAACCUGCCGAUGACUCGGGGAUAGCCUUUCGAAAGAAAGAUUAAUACCCGAUGGCAUAGUUCUUCCGCACGGUGGAACUAUUAAAGAAUUUCGGUCAUCGAUGGGGAUGCGUUCCAUUAGGUUGUUGGCGGGGUAACGGCCCACCAAGCCUUCGAUGGAUAGGGGUUCUGAGAGGAAGGUCCCCCACAUUGGAACUGAGACACGGUCCAAACUCCUACGGGAGGCAGCAGUGAGGAAUAUUGGUCAAUGGACGAGAGUCUGAACCAGCCAAGUAGCGUGAAGGAUGACUGCCCUAUGGGUUGUAAACUUCUUUUAUACGGGAAUAAAGUGAGGCACGUGUGCCUUUUUGUAUGUACCGUAUGAAUAAGGAUCGGCUAACUCCGUGCCAGCAGCCGCGGUAAUACGGAGGAUCCGAGCGUUAUCCGGAUUUAUUGGGUUUAAAGGGAGCGUAGGCGGACGCUUAAGUCAGUUGUGAAAGUUUGCGGCUCAACCGUAAAAUUGCAGUUGAUACUGGGUGUCUUGAGUACAGUAGAGGCAGGCGGAAUUCGUGGUGUAGCGGUGAAAUGCUUAGAUAUCACGAAGAACUCCGAUUGCGAAGGCAGCUUGCUGGACUGUAACUGACGCUGAUGCUCGAAAGUGUGGGUAUCAAACAGGAUUAGAUACCCUGGUAGUCCACACAGUAAACGAUGAAUACUCGCUGUUUGCGAUAUACAGUAAGCGGCCAAGCGAAAGCGUUAAGUAUUCCACCUGGGGAGUACGCCGGCAACGGUGAAACUCAAAGGAAUUGACGGGGGCCCGCACAAGCGGAGGAACAUGUGGUUUAAUUCGAUGAUACGCGAGGAACCUUACCCGGGCUUGAAUUGCAACUGAAUGAUGUGGAGACAUGUCAGCCGCAAGGCAGUUGUGAAGGUGCUGCAUGGUUGUCGUCAGCUCGUGCCGUGAGGUGUCGGCUUAAGUGCCAUAACGAGCGCAACCCUUAUCGAUAGUUACCAUCAGGUUAUGCUGGGGACUCUGUCGAGACUGCCGUCGUAAGAUGUGAGGAAGGUGGGGAUGACGUCAAAUCAGCACGGCCCUUACGUCCGGGGCUACACACGUGUUACAAUGGGGGGUACAGAAGGCAGCUACACGGCGACGUGAUGCUAAUCCCGAAAGCCUCUCUCAGUUCGGAUUGGAGUCUGCAACCCGACUCCAUGAAGCUGGAUUCGCUAGUAAUCGCGCAUCAGCCACGGCGCGGUGAAUACGUUCCCGGGCCUUGUACACACCGCCCGUCAAGCCAUGAAAGCCGGGGGUACCUGAAGUGCGUAACCGCAAGGAGCGCCCUAGGGUAAAACUGGUGAUUGGGGCU